ACUGCGAAAGGCUCAUUAAAUCAGUCGUGGUCUACGUGGUCGUGCGGCGACGAGAGUCGUCAGAGGUGGAUAACCGUGGAAAAGCUAGAGCUAAUACAUGCAAACGAGCGCCGACUUCGGGAGGCGUGCAUUUAUCAGACCGCACGUCGGCCGGGCGUCGGCGUCCCCGGGCUUCGCGGCUCGGUGCGUCGGCCGGCGUCCGUCGAUUGUGGUGACUCUGGAUAACUUAUCGUGCUGAUCGCCGGUCCGUUGGAGAUCGGGCGACGAACCACUCGAGCGUCUGACCUAUCAACUGUUGUCGGUAAGGUCUCGGCCUACCGAGGUUCUCACGGGUGACGGGGAAUCAGGGUUCGAUUCCGGAGAGGGAGCCCGAGAAACGGCUGCCACUUCCAAGGAAGGCAGCAGGCGCGCAAAUUACCCAUUUCAGACUCUGAGAGGUAGUGACGAGAAAUACCGAUGCCGGGCCUCGACGGGCGCCGACAAUCGAAAUGAGCGCAGCUCAAAACACUGAUGUCGUUCCGUUCAACGGUCGGGCGUCGCGAGGCGUCUCGGCCGCUUGGACGUGUGUCGUGCAAGUAUCGAUCGGAGGGCAAGUCUGGUGCC
This 603-nucleotide ribosomal RNA is filed under the name Didemnum sp. Mahanga Bay-EM-2003. RNAcentral's name for it is "bacterial SSU rRNA". It matches the Rfam family "Eukaryotic small subunit ribosomal RNA", at positions 86 to 568 of the family's 1831-position model. The record is from RNAcentral. Lineage: Eukaryota; Metazoa; Chordata; Ascidiacea; Aplousobranchia; Didemnidae.